RNAcentral lists this ribosomal RNA (396 nucleotides) under uncultured bacterium. RNAcentral's name for it is "partial 16S ribosomal RNA". It matches the Rfam family "Bacterial small subunit ribosomal RNA", at positions 523 to 917 of the family's 1533-position model. The record is from RNAcentral.
AUACGUAGGUGGCAAGCGUUGUCCGGAAUUAUUGGGCGUAAAGCGCGCGCAGGUGGUUCCUUAAGUCUGAUGUGAAAGCCCCCGGCUCAACCGGGGAGGGUCAUUGGAAACUGGGGAACUUGAGUGCAGAAGAGGAUAGUGGAAUUCCAAGUGUAGCGGUGAAAUGCGUAGAGAUUUGGAGGAACACCAGUGGCGAAGGCGACUUUCGGGUCUGUAACUGACGCUGAGGCGCGAAAGCGUGGGGAGCAAACAGGAUUAGAUACCCUGGUAGUCCACGCCGUAAACGAUGAGUGCUAAGUGUUAGGGGGUUUCCGCCCCUUAGUGCUGCAGCUAACGCAUUAAGCACUCCGCCUGGGGAGUACGGUCGCAAGACUGAAACUCAAAUGAAUUGACGGG